Helianthus annuus (common sunflower) is the source of this 1921-nucleotide RNA transcript. RefSeq lists it as uncharacterized. The transcript is spliced from 10 exons. NCBI's taxonomy places the organism in Eukaryota, Viridiplantae, Streptophyta, Magnoliopsida, Asterales, Asteraceae. The record is from RefSeq and is a predicted model, not a curated record.
GGGGACACAUGUCACCCAUCUAGAGCCUCAAAAUCUCAUUUUCCCGCCAUUUUCCUAAUCUCUUGAUUUUCCUUAUGUAAUACCCGACGCGGGAUCCGAAUAAGCAAUUUGGGUCACUUAUUGUUCCUUCCAUCAUACGUCUCUCUUCUCCAUCUCUAAUCUUCAUUCACAUCCUAGGGUUUAUGCAACUUCAUUCGCACCUAUAUCCUUCUCAUCCAAUCGCAUCCAUUCGCACAUCAUUCUGCCGACAUCUUCCGAAACCUAAUGGAUCCUUCAGUCGUUCAAUCUGUCGUUCCAUCCAAGCCUAUACAAUCCAAUGUUCCAUCAGGUACGAUUCCUUUCCUCACAAAACCUAAUCCAAAAAAUUAUGCUCUGUCUGAAAUGUCGCUGCCAAAAUCUUAUCAAGGUGAGUUUAUAUGAUUUCAAUUACAAAAUCAUCGUCACAAAUCUCUUGGAUUUUUCUUAAUUUAGAACUUUACAACGUUGAAUUUCACCGUACAUAACGCAAGAUGGAUUGAGAUUGCUUAGCGAACAAAACCCUAAUUCAGAGCUAUGGAAGGGUCCUUUACCUGAUGUUGGAAGGAAUCUAAUUUUGAUGUUGCUAAUUGGGGCUAUAAAGUGUAUAUAUAGGGGCGGUCUGGUCAUAAAACCCAAACUUGCAAGGCCUGGCAGGGUUCCCGUUACCACCUGCGUGUGGGAUUGUGACGGGAAGUCAGUUGCACGUGGUAUUGGUGAUGACUCUAUACAGAUAUGGAGUAUAUAGCCUGGGAGGGAAAAUCGACCAGACAUUUAUGUAGCCAGUGACUAAAAGAAAUAAAUUACAGUUGUAUAUCAACACCAUAUUUGUCUUUUGAUGCAGGAAAUCAAGUGCUAUAGUUGAAGGUUAACAAGUAGGUUCCUCAUUCGACAAAGGAACAACAUGUUGGAAGGGUGCAGGAUAUUCAAGGAGCUCUACAAAUGAGAAAAAUGUACCUCCCAUCUAGAAGUGAGUCUAAUAUGUUGAUUAGGAUAAACUAUAUUAUAGGUUGCAUUGAAGUUUCAACACAAAAGCAACAAAGGAUGUAACAAUGAACCACCAUAUGAAUGGCAAGUUUACAAGUGAGCCUAUCAAAGCAACAGUGUUCAUGUGAAGAAGACUACCAACAGCGAUCAAGAAGAGUAACAGCCAAUGAAACAGCAUUAAUCAGUAGAUCUACAAUAGCGAGUCAAAAUCGAUUAAGCUGGCUCUGGUGUCCCUUUUUUAAUCAUAACGAAGCCAAAGAAUAUUGCAACUUGGUCGAUUAAACAAAGUUGUACGGAUCAAUGCGCUUAGUAGACGUGGUGAAGACAAGAACGAAUCAGAACCUAUGUGGUGCGGAAGAAGCCUGUGUGAAGUCGAGCAAUAACUAUGUGAACAACACCUAUUGAAUAUGUGUUAUAUUGGUUUGAGCCAAAAUCAAGAAUCCGAUAUGCGUGAAGAAACUAAAUCCGUAUGAUAAGCGGCAACCUAAGAUCUUUUUAUGCAUUUAAAGUAAAAUUCGAGUUGCUGUCAACCCAUUUUUCCAUACCAGUUAGGACAAUGAACUAAGGAGAACUUUGCAGUCACUUGCUUGUGGGAAAAUUUGCGUCCUUCAAAAGUCUUUGACAGGGAUAUAAAAUAUGGCUAUAGAAUGUCCUAAAACAAGCCAUGCCAGGUUCAAGCUGAUAAAAAUCCUAAUGACCCUCAAUCUAUCAAGAGAUGCAUUGAAGUAAUCGUUGCUGUGUGAAUAUGAAUACUUUUAGAGGAACAUAUGUAAUUAUACCUGUGUGUAGAUAAUCCUUGCUGUGAGUAUUUGUGGUGCAUUGAAAUCCUAUACAUGAUCCAUUUAGUAUUGUCUUUUCUUCAUUUGUAAAUUAUAAUUGUAAUUUAACUUUUUAUGUAAUUUCAUUUAUAUUUCGUUAA